RNAcentral lists this ribosomal RNA (253 nucleotides) under uncultured bacterium. RNAcentral describes it as "partial 16S ribosomal RNA". It matches the Rfam family "Bacterial small subunit ribosomal RNA", at positions 524 to 776 of the family's 1533-position model. The record is from RNAcentral.
UACAGGGGGUGCAAACGUUGCUCGGAAUCAUUGGGCGUAAAGCGCACGUAGGCGGUCUGUUAUGUCGGAUGUGAAAGCCCUUGGCUCAACUGAGGAAGUGCAUCCGAAACUGGCAGGCUAGAGUGCGGUAGGGGUGACUGGAAUUCCUGGUGUAGCGGUGGAAUGCGCAGAUAUCAGGAGGAACACCGAUGGCGAAGGCAGGUCACUGGGCCGCAACUGACGCUGAGGAGCGAAAGCAUGGGGAGCGAACAGG